This is a long non-coding RNA of Seriola dumerili (greater amberjack), 103 nucleotides long. RefSeq lists it as uncharacterized. NCBI's taxonomy places the organism in Eukaryota, Metazoa, Chordata, Actinopteri, Carangiformes, Carangidae. The record is from RefSeq and is a predicted model, not a curated record. The transcript has 3 exons.
AUUGCAGGUCUUUGCCAUGACCUGGGACAUGGGCCAUUUUCCCAUCUGUUUGAUGGAAUGUUCCUCCCCAAAGCAGGUAAAAAGUGCGAGCAUGAGAAGAAUU